GUAGCCAGUGUGGCGCCAGGCCGGUAUCUUCCGCCGCUAUAGGCAGGUGCACCCGAGGGGAGAUCCCUCCUGCGCCUUCCGCCUCGCCCUCUUCUUCCGUGUCCACUGCCACCUCUUCUGAAGCACACAAAUAUCUUUAUAAUAUAUUCACGCAGGGCUGUAGCUCGUCCUCGUCUACACAGUAAUAGAUGAACUCAGCAGUUGGCAAGGCACCAGGGCUCUGAGCCUGCAUCUGGACAAGUCGAUAAGAAAGCAUGAAUGCUCUCCUUUUCAGUGGCAAUGGGAAGUUCAGAUCACACAAUAUCAAUCAACCUGACCUGAUGAGGACCCCACCCUGCUCUCCCCAGAAAGCUUCGCUAUGCUUGCUCACAUGACUGGAGGUUGAACAGCUGUUGGCUGAUCUUAGAUAACCUUGACCUGGACCAGUAGGAAGACUCACAUCUUCCUAGAAGUGAUCCACAUCUCUAGCAUCUCUUCUUCUUAUGGGGAAUGAUGGGUUAGCUUGUGUGUCAAGGACUGGAAUGUUUGUGUCCCCUUAAAAUUUAUGUUGAAAUCCU
RNAcentral lists this long non-coding RNA (557 nucleotides) under Callithrix jacchus (white-tufted-ear marmoset). RNAcentral's name for it is "lncRNA (ENSCJAG00000076542.1)". Lineage: Eukaryota; Metazoa; Chordata; Mammalia; Primates; Cebidae. The record is from RNAcentral.